This 2789-nucleotide ribosomal RNA is filed under the name Escherichia coli. Its description in RNAcentral is "bacterial LSU rRNA". It matches the Rfam family "Bacterial large subunit ribosomal RNA". Lineage: Bacteria; Pseudomonadati; Pseudomonadota; Gammaproteobacteria; Enterobacterales; Enterobacteriaceae. The record is from RNAcentral.
AGCGUACACGGUGGAUGCCCUGGCAGUCAGAGGCGAUGAAGGACGUGCUAAUCUGCGAUAAGCGUCGGUAAGGUGAUAUGAACCGUUAUAACCGGCGAUUUCCGAAUGGGGAAACCCAGUGUGAUUCGUCACACUAUCAUUAACUGAAUCCAUAGGUUAAUGAGGCGAACCGGGGGAACUGAAACAUCUAAGUACCCCGAGGAAAAGAAAUCAACCGAGAUUCCCCCAGUAGCGGCGAGCGAACGGGGAGCAGCCCAGAGCCUGAAUCAGUGUGUGUGUUAGUGGAAGCGUCUGGAAAGGCGCGCGAUACAGGGUGACAGCCCCGUACACAAAAAUGCACAUACUGUGAGCUCGAUGAGUAGGGCGGGACACGUGGUAUCCUGUCUGAAUAUGGGGGGACCAUCCUCCAAGGCUAAAUACUCCUGACUGACCGAUAGUGAACCAGUACCGUGAGGGAAAGGCGAAAAGAACCCCGGCGAGGGGAGUGAAAAAGAACCUGAAACCGUGUACGUACAAGCAGUGGGAGCACAGAGCAAUCUGUGUGACUGCGUACCUUUUGUAUAAUGGGUCAGCGACUUAUAUUCUGUAGCAAGGUUAACCGAAUAGGGGAGCCGAAGGGAAACCGAGUCUUAACUGGGCGUUAAGUUGCAGGGUAUAGACCCGAAACCCGGUGAUCUAGCCAUGGGCAGGUUGAAGGUUGGGUAACACUAACUGGAGGACCGAACCGACUAAUGUUGAAAAAUUAGCGGAUGACUUGUGGCUGGGGGUGAAAGGCCAAUCAAACCGGGAGAUAGCUGGUUCUCCCCGAAAGCUAUUUAGGUAGCGCCUCGUGAAUUCAUCUCCGGGGGUAGAGCACUGUUUCGGCAAGGGGGUCAUCCCGACUUACCAACCCGAUGCAAACUGCGAAUACCGGAGAAUGUUAUCACGGGAGACACACGGCGGGUGCUAACGUCCGUCGUGAAGAGGGAAACAACCCAGACCGCCAGCUAAGGUCCCAAAGUCAUGGUUAAGUGGGAAACGAUGUGGGAAGGCCCAGACAGCCAGGAUGUUGGCUUAGAAGCAGCCAUCAUUUAAAGAAAGCGUAAUAGCUCACUGGUCGAGUCGGCCUGCGCGGAAGAUGUAACGGGGCUAAACCAUGCACCGAAGCUGCGGCAGCGACGCUGAUGCGUUGUUGGGUAGGGGAGCGUUCUGUAAGCCUGUGAAGGUGUGCUGUGAGGCAUGCUGGAGGUAUCAGAAGUGCGAAUGCUGACAUAAGUAACGAUAAAGCGGGUGAAAAGCCCGCUCGCCGGAAGACCAAGGGUUCCUGUCCAACGUUAAUCGGGGCAGGGUGAGUCGACCCCUAAGGCGAGGCCGAAAGGCGUAGUCGAUGGGAAACAGGUUAAUAUUCCUGUACUUGGUGUUACUGCGAAGGGGGGACGGAGAAGGCUAUGUUGGCCGGGCGACGGUUGUCCCGGUUUAAGCGUGUAGGCUGGUUUUCCAGGCAAAUCCGGAAAAUCAAGGCUGAGGCGUGAUGACGAGGCACUACGGUGCUGAAGCAACAAAUGCCCUGCUUCCAGGAAAAGCCUCUAAGCAUCAGGUAACAUCAAAUCGUACCCCAAACCGACACAGGUGGUCAGGUAGAGAAUACCAAGGCGCUUGAGAGAACUCGGGUGAAGGAACUAGGCAAAAUGGUGCCGUAACUUCGGGAGAAGGCACGCUGAUAUGUAGGUGAAGUCCCUCGCGGAUGGAGCUGAAAUCAGUCGAAGAUACCAGCUGGCUGCAACUGUUUAUUAAAAACACAGCACUGUGCAAACACGAAAGUGGACGUAUACGGUGUGACGCCUGCCCGGUGCCGGAAGGUUAAUUGAUGGGGUCAGCGCAAGCGAAGCUCUUGAUCGAAGCCCCGGUAAACGGCGGCCGUAACUAUAACGGUCCUAAGGUAGCGAAAUUCCUUGUCGGGUAAGUUCCGACCUGCACGAAUGGCGUAAUGAUGGCCAGGCUGUCUCCACCCGAGACUCAGUGAAAUUGAACUCGCUGUGAAGAUGCAGUGUACCCGCGGCAAGACGGAAAGACCCCGUGAACCUUUACUAUAGCUUGACACUGAACAUUGAGCCUUGAUGUGUAGGAUAGGUGGGAGGCUUUGAAGUGUGGACGCCAGUCUGCAUGGAGCCGACCUUGAAAUACCACCCUUUAAUGUUUGAUGUUCUAACGUUGACCCGUAAUCCGGGUUGCGGACAGUGUCUGGUGGGUAGUUUGACUGGGGCGGUCUCCUCCUAAAGAGUAACGGAGGAGCACGAAGGUUGGCUAAUCCUGGUCGGACAUCAGGAGGUUAGUGCAAUGGCAUAAGCCAGCUUGACUGCGAGCGUGACGGCGCGAGCAGGUGCGAAAGCAGGUCAUAGUGAUCCGGUGGUUCUGAAUGGAAGGGCCAUCGCUCAACGGAUAAAAGGUACUCCGGGGAUAACAGGCUGAUACCGCCCAAGAGUUCAUAUCGACGGCGGUGUUUGGCACCUCGAUGUCGGCUCAUCACAUCCUGGGGCUGAAGUAGGUCCCAAGGGUAUGGCUGUUCGCCAUUUAAAGUGGUACGCGAGCUGGGUUUAGAACGUCGUGAGACAGUUCGGUCCCUAUCUGCCGUGGGCGCUGGAGAACUGAGGGGGGCUGCUCCUAGUACGAGAGGACCGGAGUGGACGCAUCACUGGUGUUCGGGUUGUCAUGCCAAUGGCACUGCCCGGUAGCUAAAUGCGGAAGAGAUAAGUGCUGAAAGCAUCUAAGCACGAAACUUGCCCCGAGAUGAGUUCUCCCUGACUCCUUGA